AUUCUACUCCCUCCGUUGCACAAUACGUGCCUUCUAUUUGUCAAAAUAUAUAUGUAUCUAGACAUGUUUUAGUAUAUAGGUACGUCCAUUUUUGCACAAAUGGAAGUCAAGUAUUUUGGGACAGAGGGAGCACACA
This is a non-coding RNA of Triticum aestivum (bread wheat), 136 nucleotides long. The record is from Rfam. Lineage: Eukaryota; Viridiplantae; Streptophyta; Magnoliopsida; Poales; Poaceae.